This 251-nucleotide ribosomal RNA is filed under the name uncultured prokaryote. Its description in RNAcentral is "partial 16S ribosomal RNA". It matches the Rfam family "Bacterial small subunit ribosomal RNA", at positions 525 to 775 of the family's 1533-position model. The record is from RNAcentral.
ACAGAGGUGGCAAGCGUUGUUCGGAAUUAUUGGGCGUAAAGCGUGCGCAGGCGGUUCGUUAAGACAGGUGUGAAAUCCCCGGGCUUAACCUGGGAAUGGCGCUUGUGACUGGCGGGCUGGAGUACGGCAGAGGGGGGUGGAAUUCCACGUGUAGCAGUGAAAUGCGUAGAGAUGUGGAGGAACACCGAUGGCGAAGGCAGCCCCCUGGGCCGAUACUGACGCUCAUGCACGAAAGCGUGGGGAGCAAACAG